CCUUCGUGCGUGGCUCCCCUCUUUGAACGGUGGUGGGCGCGGCUUUGCUGCUCGCCUGCCCUUCGUAGGCGCGGCCUGUCCCUGGCCACCGUGUGCGUGGCACCGCCCUUCGGCUGCCUUGCGUGGGCGUGUCCGGGGCGGUGCUGUGCUGCCCGGGGAUUGGUGAACGCCGGGCUGGGCGGGGCCGGAAGAGCCGCGGCCGGGUGCCGUGCUCCCGCGCGGGGCGGGGCCGGUGCGGCCACGCGGUGCGAGGCGGAAGUCGGCGGCCGAGGGUCCGUGGGACGCGUGAGGAGUCGCAUGAAUCGCAGGUGCUCCUGUGUCUCCAUCCCCGUUUUGUUUCACGUAGGAAAUGAAAAUUAUUAAUAUCCUGUGCUUCACCUCAGUAGGCUGUGAGGAUUUAAGGAAGUCAAAAGAAACCUCAGCAAUGCAAAGAAAUGGAUGAGAGGCAGGAUCGAUAGUUCUUUGGUGUUACCAGACCCUGAACUUCAGUUAAACUGAUCUACUCAGCUCCACCACUGGGCAGCCCUCAACGUUUUCCUGCUGACAUUAGAAGCAUUGCUCCAAAGUCUGAGAGGGAAAAGCCAUCCAAAAUCCAGUGUCUGUGACUUGGGAGAGGCAGUCUGUUACAAAAGCCUUUGCUCUCCGCCUUAUAAACUGAAUGGGAGGAAAAAACGCAGAUGACUUUCUCACCCUGACUGCUGUGGAAAUGGUGAAUUUGCUCGGUAUUCAUCACAUGCAGCUGUCACCGGGCUACAGAUCAUCUGCACUCCGUGCUCUGAGGAGACAAUCUGCUGAGACAGGGGUUUUGAGGCGCUGUGCUGUGCAGAGGGACAAGCGAAGAUGGAACUGGUGGCUGUGCUGACUGUCUUCUGGGUGUAGGGUUUUUUAAUUUGAAGGCGCUUCAGGCAGGCUCGGGGCAUGGAGGCGCCUGCUGGCAAGCGGUCCGAGGCGAGUCAAGACUUGGCUGGGCCAGCGUUUAAGAGCAGAGAAUCGUGUGGCAGCCCAGUGAAGCGUUUACCGUUUGGCAGAUGAAGAGGAACCUGGUGAUUGCAGGAGUAUCCCAGUUGGCUGAUGUGGCUUCCGUCGAGGAUGGCUUCUCGUCCCCGGGCUGCUGGGAGCUGACUGGAAGGAGCAGGGAGCGCUGCCCCACGGCGCGUGAUACAGACGUCAGCUCGGGAGUGAUUUUUCCAAACUGGAAGCGCUUUGCCUUCCAGGAGGUUGUGUUUUAGGAGCUUCCCAGCAGAGCGAGUAUUAAGAAGAGGGUGUGCUUAGCAGUCGAAGCCACCAGCAACAAGACUUUCCACUCUCCUGAAAAAAAAAAGGGAAAAAGGUGAAUUUCCUUCCAAAGACUCCUGCACAGCACAUGCUCCAGAAAUGGGUGGUGUCGCUGGUCCUUACACUUUCUCAGUUGUAGCAGUUGGGACAUCAUCAAAAUGUGUUCCUUCCCCAUGCUUCGGUACAGCCAAAAGCAUUAGCAGCUGGGCCAGUCCUUUGUGGUAGCCUUAUGUAUCGCAGCACUGGGGGGGGUGUGUGUGUGUGUGUGUGAUUUUCUUUGGUGUUUGUUUGUUUGUUUGUUUUUGUUGUGUGUUUUUUUUUUUUUUCCCCAAAGCGCUGGCGAUUGUUGGCUGUGUUUUCUUGCAGCUGAACAGCUGGAGUUUGGCUAACUGUGGCAGAGCUGAGGGUCUGUGCUCCUUUUUGCAUUUGGGGGCUGAGGGUGGAUCCAGCUGCCCCCAGCUUCCUCUCUGAGAAGGAAUUUAGAGAGCAAGGGGAUCCAGUCUGAACCUCACGACUUGGCAGGAGGGUCUUUCCGGACUCCUUGUUUAACAAGAAGUUGAAACCAUGUGGUGGGUUUCUUCCCUCACUGCCUUGCUGUCAUGAUUGAAACUUGAAAAAAGUUAAAAUGUUAUAAAUUAGAA
Molecule: long non-coding RNA, 1916 nt
Organism: Apus apus (common swift)
Lineage: Eukaryota; Metazoa; Chordata; Aves; Apodiformes; Apodidae
Exons: 9
Source: RefSeq, a predicted model, not a curated record